Molecule: long non-coding RNA, 919 nt
Filed under: Homo sapiens (human)
Lineage: Eukaryota; Metazoa; Chordata; Mammalia; Primates; Hominidae
Description: non-protein coding lnc-RPS29-5:1
Source: RNAcentral
UGAAAAUUCUAGAAAGAAGUACAUUAACUGGUCUCCUGGGAUUUGAUUUUCUACCCUGUCAACAUAUUAGUCAAUACGUAUUAGUCAGUGGCCAGCUUAGACCAUUGUGGUGGAUAGUAUUACUAAAUUCACUUACAGUGAAUGACUGAGAGUAAAAAAUUCAUUCUCUUUUAUAGUCAGGCAUUUGAUAAUAGGCAUUUAAAGACAUCACUUUAAUUACUGAGGUGGUGGAUCAAGUCCAUUUUACCCCGACCCCUGCUAGUGUAACAUCUGUUAAAUUUAUCACCUCUCCCCCAAUAUGACUGUGCAGUGUUGAUUAACUAAGCAUGUGGUCCUUCCAAUUUGGUGACUCAAGAGAGCCCAUAUAUCACUUAGCACAUCAGAAAGCUUGUUCAAUUGCUUUUGCCUUCAUUUAUUACCCCACAGGACAGAAAUGACUAUUAGCUUUCCUGAUUAAAACACUGUGACCAUGCUUUAAGUUUAAUUGUAUACAUUGCUAGUUAAUAGCAAGCACUCCCCUUGGGCAUAAACUUUUAAAUCUCAUUUAGAUUGGCUCUGUAUUAUGAUAGGGGUUCCAGCUUGGGGAAAAAAGAACGGUCACCACAUCUUUGGUCUUUAGCCAUAUAUAAAGUAUUCCAGAAAUUUACUGAAAAAGCAAAUGCAGGUAAAUUUUAAAGAUACAAUCCCAAGUAAAUAAUUCUUAGAAAAUAUUUAAUUUAAAUUAAAAAUAGUAUGGUUUUGAAAACCAAUAUAUAAAUAAAACAGGUUUAUUUAUAUGGAACAUUUAGGCAACUUAAAACUGGAAUAAAUAAUCCUGGAAAAUACAUGUGAUCAAUUGCAAACAUUGUGAUCUUUGAAACUGUUGACUCCCCUCAAUGGAUAGAAAAAAGACAAUGAGUACAUACAAGUCUGGAGGAAA